Magnolia sinica is the source of this 107-nucleotide small nucleolar RNA. NCBI's taxonomy places the organism in Eukaryota, Viridiplantae, Streptophyta, Magnoliopsida, Magnoliales, Magnoliaceae. The record is from RefSeq and is a predicted model, not a curated record.
AAACUGUGUUGUGGGCAUGAAUUGACAAGAUCCUUAAACCUUUUCCAACGUUAGAAGAAUGUUUCACCCUCCUUUUGGGGGAAGUUUAUGAUUGAUUUUCUAAGGGU